AGAGUUUGAUUCUGGCUCAGAACGAACGCUGGCAGCGUGGAUUAGGCAUGCAAGUCGAACGAGAAGCUUUAGGUUCAAUUCUUCGGAAAAGUUCCUGAAGUAGGCAGUGGCGAAAGGGUGAGUAACGCGUGAGCAAUCUACCCUUAAGUUCGGAACAACCAGGCGAAAGCCUGGCUAAUACCGGAUGUGGUCCCUUGGUAACAAGCCAAGGUGAUUAAAGGCGGGGAUCCUUCGGGACCUGUCGCUUAGGGAGGAGCUCGCGUCCUAUCAGCUUGUUGGUAAGGUAAUGGCUUACCAAGGCUUACGGGUAGCUGGUCUGAGAGGAUGGUCAGCCACACUGGGACUGAGACACUGCCCAGACUCCUACGGGAGGCUGCAGUCGAGGAUCAUUUACAAUGCACGAAAGUGUGAUAAUGCGACGCUGCGUGGAGGAUGAAGGCCUUAGGGUCGUAAACUCCUGUCAUGAGGGAAAAAUUGUUCACGUAUUAAUACUAUGUGGACGUGAUGGUACCUCAAGAGGAAGCCACGGCUAACUCUGUGCCAGCAGCCGCGGUAAUACAGAGGUGGCUAGCGUUGUUCGGAUUUACUGGGCGUAAAGGGUGCGUAGGUGGUACUGUGUGGUGGAUGUGAAAUCCCAUGGCUCAACCAUGGAACUGCAUCCAAAACUGCAGAACUAGAGUACAGGAGGGGAGAGCGGAAUUCUUGGUGUAGCGGUGAAAUGCGUUGAUAUCAAGAAGAACACCGGUGGCGAAGGCGGCUCUCUGGAAUGUUACUGACGCUGAGGCACGAAAGCUGGGGGAGCAAGCAGGAUUAGAUACCCUGGUAGUCCCAGCCGUAAACGGUGUCGACUUGGUGUGGGGGGAAUUGACCCCCCCCGUGCCGGAGCUAACGCGUUAAGUCGACCGCCUGGGGAGUACGGCCGCAAGGCUAAAACUCAAAGAAAUUGACGGGGGCCCGCACAAGCGGAGGAGCAUGUGGCUUAAUUCGAUGCAACGCGAAGAACCUUACCAGGGCUUGACAUGGCGACCCUUCGGGGGUGGAGGUGAAAGCCUCCUUUACGAUCACAGGUGCUGCAUGGCUGUCGUCAGUUCGUGCCGCGAGGUGUUUGGUUAAGUCCAGCAACGAACGCAACCCUUGUGGCUAGUUGCCACCGCAGGUGAUGAGCCUGCGAGCACUCUAGCCAGACUGCCCUUGUAAGAGGGAGGAAGGUGGGGACGACGUCAAGUCAGUAUGGCCCUUACGCCCUGGGCUGCACACGUGCUACAAUGGUCGGUACAGAGGGACGCAAUAUCGCGAGAUGGAGCAAAUCCCCAAAGCCGGCCCCAGUUCGGAUUGGAGUCUGAAACUCGACUCCAUGAAGUUGGAUUCGCUAGUAACGGCGUAUCAGCUACGACGCCGUGAAUGCGUUCCCGGGCCUUGUACACACCGCCCGUCACAUCAUGAAAGCCGUCUGCACCCGGAGUCGCUGAUCUAACCCGCAAGGGAGGAAGGCGCCGAAGGUGUGGGUGGUGAUUGGGAUGAAGUCGAAACAAGGUA
Molecule: ribosomal RNA, 1536 nt
Filed under: metagenome
Description: bacterial SSU rRNA
Rfam family: Bacterial small subunit ribosomal RNA
Source: RNAcentral